Molecule: ribosomal RNA, 327 nt
Filed under: uncultured eukaryote
Lineage: Eukaryota
Description: partial 18S ribosomal RNA
Rfam family: Eukaryotic small subunit ribosomal RNA
Source: RNAcentral
CCCUUAGAUGUUCUGGGCCGCACACGCGCUACACUGAAGGAGGCAGCGUGUACUCCUGGAUCGAAAGAUUUGGGUAACACGCGAAUCUCCUUCGUGCUAGGGAUUGAGGUUUGCAAUUAUCCUUCAUGAACGAGGAAUUCCCAGUAAGUGCAAGUCAUAAGCUUGCGCUGACUACGUCCCUGCCCUUUGUACACACCGCCCGUCGCUACUACCGAUUGAAUGAUUUAGUGAGGACUUCGGACUGGGACCGAUGCGGCUUUCGGGCUGCGUCGGUAUUCUGGAAAGAUGUCCAAACUGUAUCAUUUAGAGGAAGUAAAANUCGUAACA